RNAcentral lists this ribosomal RNA (451 nucleotides) under uncultured bacterium. RNAcentral describes it as "bacterial SSU rRNA". It matches the Rfam family "Bacterial small subunit ribosomal RNA", at positions 355 to 825 of the family's 1533-position model. The record is from RNAcentral.
UCGAGAAUCUUCCGCAAUGGACGAAAGUCUGACGGAGCGACGCCGCGUGGUGGAUGAAGUCCUUAGGGACGUAAACACCUUUUAUGGAGGAGAAAGUUUAUUGAUGUUACUCCAUGAAUAAGGGGCUCCCAAUUCUGUGCCAGCAGGAGCGGUAAUACAGAAGCCUCAAGCGUUACCCGGAUUUAUUGGGCGUAAAGGAUGCGUAGGCGGUUAUAUUAGUCUUGUGUUAAAAUUUCGGGCUCAACCCGGAGGUCGCAUAGGAAACGGUAUAACUAGAAGAAGUGAGAGGUGAACAGAGCUCUCGGUGUAGGAGUGAAAUCCGUUGAUAUCGAGGGGAAUACCAAAUGCGAAGGCAGUUCACUGGCACUUUCUUGACGCUGAGGCAUGAAAGCGUGGGUAGCGAAUCGGAUUAGAUACCCGAGUAGUCCCUGAGCGGGCUGGCAAGGCGCAU